This is a long non-coding RNA of Choloepus didactylus (southern two-toed sloth), 401 nucleotides long. RefSeq lists it as uncharacterized. NCBI's taxonomy places the organism in Eukaryota, Metazoa, Chordata, Mammalia, Pilosa, Megalonychidae. The record is from RefSeq and is a predicted model, not a curated record. The transcript is spliced from 3 exons.
GGCAGCCCCUGGGACUCGGCGGGGGUUUGGAAGACAACAGCGAGUGUAACAGGUGAACGAACGCCUGUUAGCCCAGCAACCACUGGGCAGACAAUACAGAGCACGGGCCCUGCCAUCUGGCAGCUCACACCUGCCUCGCCACCCCGUCGCCACCCACCAGCAGGGCUUCAGUGAACAGAUGGCCGACUGAGCUGCUCUCUUUGAGGGGACAGAGAACCCAGACGGGCCUGGCCUCACAGGUCGGGAGGUGAAGCGUUUGAGCUCGAGACAGGUGUCCCGGCAGAAGACUUCACGGCGGACGUAUUGAUUGUUCAUCCCCUGAAAAAGAAAAUCACAGCCAGAGACCCUAGAACAUCGUCCCUCGGACUUUGGAAGGGAUGCCCAUGCUGCUGACCCAGGAC